This 253-nucleotide ribosomal RNA is filed under the name uncultured bacterium. RNAcentral describes it as "partial 16S ribosomal RNA". It matches the Rfam family "Bacterial small subunit ribosomal RNA", at positions 524 to 776 of the family's 1533-position model. The record is from RNAcentral.
UACGGGGGGGGCAAGCGUUGUUCGGAAUUACUGGGCGUAAAGGGCUCGUAGGCGGCCAACUAAGUCGGACGUGAAAUCCCUCGGCUUAACCGGGGAACUGCGCCCUAAACUGUGUGGCUUGAGUGAGAUAGGGGUGUGUGGAACUUCCGGUGGAGCGGUGAAAUGUGUUGAUAUCGGAAGGAACGCCGGUGGCGAAAGCGACACACUGGGUCUCAACUGACGCUGAGGCACGAAAGCCAGGGGAGCGAACGGG